RNAcentral lists this long non-coding RNA (862 nucleotides) under Marmota monax (woodchuck). The record is from RNAcentral. Lineage: Eukaryota; Metazoa; Chordata; Mammalia; Rodentia; Sciuridae.
GUUCAAUCAUUAUCCACAAUAUAAAUAGUAGGUUUGCAAAAGGGGCUGCAGUUUCUAGUGUGGACAAAGGGAGAACCACGAGUAGGGUGUAGGAUGAGAUGUUGAGGGAGUAAGAGUUAAGGAUAUAGAGUUAUUAGAUCUGAGGAAGGGUGAAACAGAAAUCAAAAGAAGUUGGAUAGUAGUAGAAGAAAAGAGAGAAAGUGAUUUGAGGAGACAUGUAGGUGGAAAGACAGUAGAGAGAACAAAAAACAAGCUUAAAAAUGUAGAAAUAGGAGAUAAAAGAAUACAACACAACUGUGGUAUACUAUUGACACCUCCCAGACCUCAGUAGCCUAAUCCAUGAGAAUUUCUUGGUUUUAAAAAUGUUGGGGAUGUGAGGUUGGACGAAUAGGGAGAGAGAGAAGAGAAAAAGAAUAUCAAAGGAAGAUACAAGGAUUGUUUUUGAUGGGUUGUUUUUGUUUGUUGUUGACUUACACACCUCACCAAAAAAUAAAAAACCUUUAAUAACCUAAUUUAAAUAUGGUAAAAUACUUAGAUUCUGCCCUAAAAAUUAAACAAGUGUGUAAAGACAUAUAAAAGCAACUCAAGGUCACUUACUAGGCUAAAUAAAAUGAUAAUUUAGCUUUUCUGCUUCAUUUGUCUCACAGUAUUAUGGGUGCACAGUCUCCAACAUGCACAGGGCAUCCUGAGACAUUGCUCAAUUCACAAAAUGCCAGGUUCUCAUUUCCCCACAUUAUGCUUGCUCAUCACUCCAUCUUAAUUGCCAAGAAAGUCUCAAGCCUGGACAACAACCAAAUAUAGAUAAAUUGCUAGAUAAUCAUGAACUUUGAAAAUUACCUCAGGAAUCAAGAGAAUACAUUAG